Molecule: ribosomal RNA, 455 nt
Filed under: uncultured Anoxybacillus sp.
Lineage: Bacteria; Bacillati; Bacillota; Bacilli; Caryophanales; Anoxybacillaceae
Description: bacterial SSU rRNA
Rfam family: Bacterial small subunit ribosomal RNA
Source: RNAcentral
GCGGUGGAGCAUGUGGUUUAAUUCGAAGCAACGCGAAGAACCUUACCAGGUCUUGACAUCCCCUGACAACCCGAGAGAUCGGGCGUUCCCCUUCGGGGGACAGGGUGACAGGUGGUGCAUGGUUGUCGUCAGCUCGUGUCGUGAGAUGUUGGGUUAAGUCCCGCAACGAGCGCAACCCUCGACCUUAGUUGCCAGCAUUCAGUUGGGCACUCUAAGGUGACUGCCGGCUAAAAGUCGGAGGAAGGUGGGAUGACGUCAAAUCAUCAUGCCCCUUAUGACCUGGGCUACACACGUGCUACAAUGGGCGGUACAAAGGGUCGCGAACCCGCGAGGGGGAGCCAAUCCCAAAAAGCCGCUCUCAGUUCGGAUUGCAGGCUGCAACUCGCCUGCAUGAAGCCGGAAUCGCUAGUAAUCGCGGAUCAGCAUGCCGCGGUGAAUACGUUCCCGGGCCUUGU